This is a non-coding RNA of Gorilla gorilla gorilla (western lowland gorilla), 227 nucleotides long. It matches the Rfam family "Metazoan signal recognition particle RNA". From Rfam's summary of the family: The signal recognition particle (SRP) is a universally conserved ribonucleoprotein. It is involved in the co-translational targeting of proteins to membranes. The eukaryotic SRP consists of a 300-nucleotide 7S RNA and six proteins: SRPs 72, 68, 54, 19, 14, and 9. NCBI's taxonomy places the organism in Eukaryota, Metazoa, Chordata, Mammalia, Primates, Hominidae. The record is from Rfam.
GCCGGACGUGGUGGCACAUACCUGUAGUCCCAGCUACUUGGGAGGCAGAGGUGGGAGGAUUGCUUGAGCCUGGGAGGUGGAGAUUGCAGUCAGCCAAGAUCACACCACUGCACCCCGCACCCGCCAACACCNNNNNNNNNNGGUGUUGGCGGGUGCGGGGUGCAGUGGUGUGAUCUUGGCUGACUGCAAUCUCCACCUCCCAGGCUCAAGCAAUCCUCCCACCUCUG